UUCCCAGUGGCUCAGUUGGUAGAGCAUGGUGUUUGCAACGCCAGCAUGGUGUGUGCAACGCCAGGGUUGUGGGUAUGAUUCCCACGGGGGAAA
Non-coding RNA from Salmo salar (Atlantic salmon), 93 nucleotides. The record is from Rfam. NCBI's taxonomy places the organism in Eukaryota, Metazoa, Chordata, Actinopteri, Salmoniformes, Salmonidae.